UGGGGAAUAUUGCCCAAUGGGCGCAAGCCUGAUGCAGCCAUGCCGCGUGUAUGAAGAAGGCCUUCGGGUUGUAAAGUACUUUCAGCGGGGAGGAAGGGAGUAACGUUAAUACCUUUCCUCAUUGACGUUACCUGCAGAAGAAGCACCGGCUAACUCCGUGCCAGCAGCCGCGGUAAUACGGAGGGUGCAAGCGUUAAACGGAAUUACUGGGCGUAAAGCGCACGCAGGCGGUUUGUUAAGUCAGAUGUGAAAUCCCCGGGCUCAACCUGGGAACGGCCUCUGAAACUGGCAAGCUUGGGUCUCGUAGAGGGGGGUAGAAUUCCAGGGGUAGCGGUAAAAUGCGGGGAAAACUGGAGGAAUACCGGUGGGGAAGGCGGCCCCCUGGACGAAGACUGACGCUCAGGUGCGAAAGCGUGGGGAGCAAACAGG
This 429-nucleotide ribosomal RNA is filed under the name Chloroflexota bacterium. RNAcentral's name for it is "Chloroflexi bacterium partial 16S ribosomal RNA". It matches the Rfam family "Bacterial small subunit ribosomal RNA", at positions 355 to 776 of the family's 1533-position model. Lineage: Bacteria; Bacillati; Chloroflexota. The record is from RNAcentral.